RNAcentral lists this ribosomal RNA (886 nucleotides) under Paratylenchus holdemani. Its description in RNAcentral is "SSU rRNA". It matches the Rfam family "Eukaryotic small subunit ribosomal RNA", at positions 53 to 952 of the family's 1831-position model. Lineage: Eukaryota; Metazoa; Nematoda; Chromadorea; Rhabditida; Tylenchulidae. The record is from RNAcentral.
GCAUGUAUCAGUACAAACCUUCAUAAGGUGAAACCGCGAACGGCUCAUUAUAACAGCUAUAAUUUACUAGACCUUGAGCAACUACUUGGAUACCUGUGGUAAUUCUAGAGCUAAUACAUGCACCGAAGUUGUUCCUUGCGGAGCAAUGCAUUUAUUUGAGCAAAACCAGGCGGCUUCGGCCGUUUCUGUUGAUUCAGAAUAACUAAGCUGAUCGUAUGGGCUUGUCCCGACGACGUGUCUUUCAAGUGUCUGCCUUAUCAACUUUCGAUGGUAGUGUACGUGACUACCAUGGUGUUGACGGGUAACGGAGGAUAAGGGUUCGACUCCGGAGAAGGGGCCUGAGAAAUGGCCACUACGUCUAAGGAUGGCAGCAGGCGCGCAAAUUACCCACUCUCGGUUCGAGGAGGUAGUGACGAAAAAUAACAAGGCCGUUCUCUUUGAGGCCGGCCAUUGGAAUGGGUACAACUUAAACCCUUUAACGAGUAUCAAUGAGAGGGCAAGUCUGGUGCCAGCAGCCGCGGUAAUUCCAGCUCUCAAAAUGCAUAGAACCAUUGCUGCGGUUAAAAAGCUCGUAGUUGGAUCUGUGCCGGCGACGUGGUCCGCCCUAACCGGCGGUACUGCGCUCGUCGGCUUUGGGCCGGUCUUCGGUCGGUCGCCUUAACUGGUGGCCGCUCGUGGCUGGCUGGUUUACUUUGAGCAAAUCAGAGUGCUCAGCACAGGCGUCUCGCCGGAAUGUUCGUGCAUGGAAUAAUAGAAAAGGAUUUCGGUCCUCUUUUAUUGGUUUUGUGGACUGAGAUAAUGGUUAACAGAGACGGACGGGGGCAUUCGUAUUGCUGCGUGAGAGGUGAAAUUCUUGGACCGCAGCAGGACGGACUACAGCGAAAGC